AGUGAACGCUGGCGGCGUGCUUAACACAUGCAAGUCGUACGGACUUUAAGGGGCUUGCUUCUUAAUGUUAGUGGCGAACGGGUGCGUAAUGUAUAGCUAACCUGCCCUUUCGCGGGGGAAAACAGAUGGAAACGACUGCUAAUACCCCAUACUCCAUCUUACCACACGGUAAGAUGGGAAAGAUUUAUUGCUAAAGGAUGGGGAUUAAUGGUAACAGCUAAUUGGUGGGGUAACGGCCUACCAAGGCAAUGACCACUGCCUGGUCUGAGAGGAUGAUCAGGCACACUGGAACUGAUACACGGUACAGACUCCUACGGGAGGCAGCAGUGGGGAAUAUUGCACAAUGGAGUAAACUCUGAUGCAGCAACGCCGCGUGGAGGAUGACGCAUUUCGGUGUGUAAACUCCUUUUAUAAGGGAAGAUAAUGACGGUACCUCUUGAAUAAGCACCGGCUAACUCCGUGCCAGCAGCCGCAGUAA
RNAcentral lists this ribosomal RNA (478 nucleotides) under uncultured bacterium. RNAcentral's name for it is "partial 16S ribosomal RNA". It matches the Rfam family "Bacterial small subunit ribosomal RNA", at positions 29 to 523 of the family's 1533-position model. The record is from RNAcentral.